UUUAAAUUGAGAGUUUGAUCCUGGCUCAGGACGAACGCUGGCGGCGUGCUUAACACAUGCAAGUCGAGCGAUGAAACUUCCU
RNAcentral lists this ribosomal RNA (82 nucleotides) under Clostridium tetani. RNAcentral's name for it is "partial 16S ribosomal RNA". It matches the Rfam family "Bacterial small subunit ribosomal RNA", at positions 1 to 80 of the family's 1533-position model. The record is from RNAcentral. Lineage: Bacteria; Bacillati; Bacillota; Clostridia; Eubacteriales; Clostridiaceae.